GACGAACGCUGGCGGCGUGCUUAACACAUGCAAGUCACGGGGGUUGGAGCAAUCCAGCAACCGGCGAACGGGUGCGUAACACGUAAGCGACCUACCCUGGAGCGGGGGAUAGCCGGCCCAACGGCCGGGUAAUACCGCAUACGACGGUUUGGGGCAUUCCCGGACUGUGAAACCUACGGGGCUCGAGGAGGGGCUUGCAGCCUAUCAGCUAGUUGGCGGGGUAACGGCCCACCAAGGCGAUGACGGGUAGCUGGUCUGAGAGGAUGGCCAGCCACAUUGGGACUGAGAGACGGCCCAGACUCCUACGGGAGGCAGCAGUGGGGAAUCUUGCGCAAUGGCCGGAAGGCUGACGCAGCGACGCCGCGUGGAGGAUGACGCCCUUCGGGUGGU
This 390-nucleotide ribosomal RNA is filed under the name uncultured bacterium. RNAcentral describes it as "bacterial SSU rRNA". It matches the Rfam family "Bacterial small subunit ribosomal RNA", at positions 28 to 426 of the family's 1533-position model. The record is from RNAcentral.